RNAcentral lists this ribosomal RNA (741 nucleotides) under Triticum aestivum (bread wheat). RNAcentral describes it as "partial small subunit ribosomal RNA". The record is from RNAcentral. Lineage: Eukaryota; Viridiplantae; Streptophyta; Magnoliopsida; Poales; Poaceae.
AUGAAGAAUAGGGGGUUGGUCUAUAGAAGGGCGAGCGACAAGCUAUCGAUCACGCUCCUGAUCGACACCAAGGCAGCGAAGGUUUGUUUUGCCGAGGCUGGCAACGAUGUCGUCGAGUUCCUCUCCGGCCUCCUCUCGCUGCCGUUGGGCACAAUUGGCAACCUGCUCACAAAAGAGCGCAUGGCCGGCAGCGCCGGUAAUUUGCUUGCGAGCGUGCAGAUGCGGGAUGCCGACUACAUGGGCAAGGAGCAGCACCUGAGCCCGGCCGUCCCCUGGGCCACGCUUUGCCGCCUGGAGGAACUGCUAGGCGCCGAGGUGAGCAACUGCCACACCCGCUUCUACACCUGUGAAAAUAGGAAUACCGGCAGAAGCUGUGGAUUUCUCUCGGCCAGCAGUGACAGCGCCUGCCCCGCCUGCAAAGGUAGAAUGUUCGACCCUAUGCAUGUCAGGAGCGAGAAUGAGGAGGUCACGGCAGCUAGCAGGGCGUCUGUGUACACCAUCAAGGACUACCUCAUGGUGAGUCCGGCGCCAAGCUUGCUGUCAGGCAUCACCUUGUUUGCGCAUUGCGGCGUCACGGACCUCAGCGUGCUAGAGAAGAAGUCUGUCAAGAUCGGCAAGGAAGAGGCGUUGGGGAUACUCGCUGCUGCCCUCAAGUCCAAGACUGUCCUCACGGAUGUCUUCCUGCCAAAGAAGAAUGCACGCUGCAAGAGGGAACCUCCUGAGGAAGUCAUUUACAUGUGA